AUGUGAAAAGUAAACAGACGAUAUUCCUGCAGAAGCUAGUUGCAAACUAGCUGAUUUGUCAAAACAAACCAAAUUGUCCCCCUUUAAAAUAAUUAACCCUUUCGCUACAAGUUUUUACUGGGUUGCUAAAUCGAAUUUUUUGGAUUUCUACUAUUAUUUGCUGUGUAAAUAAUAAUCAAUACUUACAUCUUAAAAAUUUUAAUCCUAAAUGUGUUUUUCAGAAUGUAUCCCUAUGGAUACAAAAGUACUGAGUGGAAAAUAAAAAUGCUGCGAAAUUGUGCAGCCUUUUUAUGUGGAACACGUGGAGUUUCGGAAAUUAUUGGACUCUCUUGAACGGUUACCUCUGCUGCAAGACGUUCCUCGAUCUCAAUAAUUCCAUCGCCUGCAUCGUUAUCGUUAUCAACAUUGAUAUCUUGUAAGAUAAUUUCAUAUGGACCUUCUCUAGAAAGUUCGUUUACUAAAAAGCUGUUAUUAUUAUCAAAAGCAUUGUACAAGUUGCUUAUAAGUUCAGAUUUUUCCGAUUCAUCCGAAAUAUCCGAAUCAUCAAAAUUGAUUAAAAUUUUUUCAAUUUCAA
Molecule: long non-coding RNA, 574 nt
Organism: Musca domestica (house fly)
Lineage: Eukaryota; Metazoa; Arthropoda; Insecta; Diptera; Muscidae
Exons: 2
Source: RefSeq, a predicted model, not a curated record